Molecule: ribosomal RNA, 481 nt
Filed under: uncultured bacterium
Lineage: Bacteria
Description: partial 16S ribosomal RNA
Rfam family: Bacterial small subunit ribosomal RNA
Source: RNAcentral
GACGAACGUUGGCGGCGUGCUUAAUACAUACAAGUCAACUGAAGCAGUGGUAGCAAUAUCGCUGUGGAGGUGGCGCACGGGUGAGUAACACGUAGGUAAUCUGCCUUCAGGUCUGGCAUAACUCCGGGAAACCGGGGCUAAUAGCAGAUGAUGCAGCGGCUCGACAUCGAGACAGUUGUUAAAGCUAUGGCGCCUGAAGAUGAGCCUGCGUCUGAUUAGCUAGUUGGCGGGGUAACGGCCCACCAAGGCAACGAUCAGUAGCUGGUCUGAGAGGAUGAUCAGCCACACUGGAACUGAGACACGGUCCAGACUCCUACGGGAGGCAGCAGUAAGGAAUAUUGCUCAAUGGGAGAAAUCCUGAAGCAGCAACGCCGCGUGAGGGACGAAGGGCUUUUGCUUGUAAACCUCUGUAGUGAGAGAAAAAAAUCCCAAUCUUUGGGACAUGAUGGUAUCUCAAAAGUAAGCCCCGGCUAACUACGUG